RNAcentral lists this ribosomal RNA (672 nucleotides) under uncultured metazoan. RNAcentral describes it as "partial 18S ribosomal RNA". The record is from RNAcentral. Lineage: Eukaryota; Metazoa.
GAGCUAUCAAUCUGUCAAUCCUUCCAGCGUCCGGGCCUGGUGAGAUUUCCCGUGUUGAGACAAAUUAAGCCACAGGCUCCACUCCUGGUGGUGCCCUUCCGUCAAUUCCUUUAAGUUUCAGCUUUGCAACCAUACUUCCCCUGGAACCCAAAUGCUUUGGUUUCCCGGAAGCUUCCUGCUGAGUCUACAGUAAAAACGUCAGCAGAUCGCUAGCUGGCAUCGUUUAUGGUUAGAACUAGGGCGGUAUCUAAUCGCCUUCGAACCUCUAACUUUCGUUCUUGAUUAAUGAAAACAUUCUUGGCAAAUGCUUUCGCAGUAGUUUGUCUUCAAACGGUCCAAGAAUUUCACCUCUGUCGUUUGAAUACAAAUGCCCCCGACUGUCCCUAUUAAUCAUUAUGUCAAGUCUCGAAAACCAACAAAAUAAGAUCAACAUCCUAUUCUAUUAUUCCAUGCACAAAUAUUCGAGCAUAACAGCCCGCUUUAAGCACCCUAAUUUUUUCAAAGUAAACCUGUCGGCACUCAGAGACACUCGGUUAAGAGCACCCCUAAACCUCCGACAAAAGCACAGCUUUGGAUCAGUAUUACACAAAGUAAACCGAUCCAAGUCUGUUGAGAUCCAACUACGAGCUUUUUAACCACAACGACUUUAAUAUACGCUAUUGGAGCUGGAAU